RNAcentral lists this ribosomal RNA (962 nucleotides) under Listeria monocytogenes. Its description in RNAcentral is "partial 23S ribosomal RNA". It matches the Rfam family "Bacterial large subunit ribosomal RNA", at positions 172 to 1129 of the family's 2925-position model. The record is from RNAcentral. Lineage: Bacteria; Bacillati; Bacillota; Bacilli; Caryophanales; Listeriaceae.
GAGGAAGGCAGACCCAGGGAACUGAAACAUCUAAGUACCUGGAGGAAGAGAAAGAAAAAUCGAUUUCCUGAGUAGCGGCGAGCGAAACGGAAAGAGCCCAAACCAAGAAGCUUGCUUCUUGGGGUUGUAGGACACUCUAUACGGAGUUACAAAAGAAAGUUAUAAAUGAAGCGGUCUGGAAAGGCCCGCCAAAGACGGUAACAGCCCGGUAGUUGAAAUGGCUUUCCCUCCAGAGUGGAUCCUGAGUACGGCGGAACACGUGAAAUUCCGUCGGAAUCCGGGAGGACCAUCUCCCAAGGCUAAAUACUCCCUAGUGACCGAUAGUGAACCAGUACCGUGAGGGAAAGGUGAAAAGCACCCCGGAAGGGGAGUGAAACAGUUCCUGAAACCGUGUGCCUACAAGUAGUUAGAGCCCGUUAAUGGGUGAUAGCGUGCCUUUUGUAGAAUGAACCGGCGAGUUACGAUUUGUUGCAAGGUUAAGCGGAAAAAGCGGAGCCGUAGCGAAAGCGAGUCUGAAUAGGGCGCAUAAGUAACAGGUCGUAGACCCGAAACCAGGUGAUCUACCCAUGUCCAGGAUGAAGGUAAGGUAAUACUUACUGGAGGUCCGAACCCACGCACGUUGAAAAGUGCGGGGAUGAGGUGUGGGUAGCGGAGAAAUUCCAAUCGAACUUGGAGAUAGCUGGUUCUCUCCGAAAUAGCUUUAGGGCUAGCCUCGAGGUAAAGAGUCAUGGAGGUAGAGCACUGUUUGGACUAGGGGCCCUUCUCGGGUUACCGAAUUCAGAUAAACUCCGAAUGCCAUGUACUUAUACUCGGGAGUCAGACUGCGAGUGAUAAGAUCCGUAGUCGAAAGGGAAACAGCCCAGACCACCAGUUAAGGUCCCCAAAUAUAUGUUAAGUGGAAAAGGAUGUGGGGUUGCUUAGACAACCAGGAUGUUGGCUUAGAAGCAGCCACCAUUGAAAGA